GGCGGUCUACCCUUCUCGUAACGAGGACAAAUUCCGGUGGCCUUAAACACUUCCGAGGGAGCUGGCUCUGUCCGGACCGUGGUCCGGUUACCUGGCGCCCACCUGUACAUACAGGUUCUCGGGAAUUAGCUGCCUCAACGGUCGCGGUGGUCCCGCC
This 157-nucleotide non-coding RNA is filed under the name Paracoccaceae bacterium. RNAcentral's name for it is "Rhodobacteraceae bacterium (marine metagenome) 6S RNA". It matches the Rfam family "6S / SsrS RNA". From Rfam's summary of the family: E. coli 6S RNA was the first non coding RNA to be sequenced, but its function was unknown until recently. The record is from RNAcentral. Lineage: Bacteria; Pseudomonadati; Pseudomonadota; Alphaproteobacteria; Rhodobacterales; Paracoccaceae.